RNAcentral lists this long non-coding RNA (625 nucleotides) under Mustela putorius furo (domestic ferret). RNAcentral's name for it is "lncRNA (ENSMPUG00000026924.1)". The record is from RNAcentral. Lineage: Eukaryota; Metazoa; Chordata; Mammalia; Carnivora; Mustelidae.
GCAUUGUGAAGGUCAUCUAAACCAUUCACACCACAUUAAAAGAAAAGGGCUUCCCAGCAAGGCUUAGAAUCCCAAACAGAUGUCCACAAAAUAUAGACGAACAAACCAAAUGCUGAUCAAGUGAGACCAUGCAACAUGAUUGAUGGAAAGACACCAACCGGCACUUUGGAUACAAAAGUAGGUUAUGAACUCACCCAUGACAACUGACAGAGAUAGCUGCAUUGACAGAGGACUAUACGUCAUGCUCCCAGACAGAAGGGGAAGCUCUGCAAAUCUCCCAUGUAGUUGGCAAUCCUUUCUAUCUUGGAUAUCAUUCAAAAACAAGGACAGAGCAACCAAUCUCCAUGAAUCUCAACUGACUGCACAAACAAGAAUACCUGGAAAACUUUCUCAAUGGAAUAAUAUAAAGCUAACAUUUCCUAAGUGAUUACUACUCUGAAGUCCAACGUCUCCCCCAGCAAAUAUAACAUGUGUAGCUACCUGAGGCCACAUCCCCGGGCUAUCAUAGAAGAACAGAACCAACGCAGAGAACUAGAAGGCUAAAUGCUCUAUCGGAACCCCAGAACCCAGGUUUGGCUAAGUGCAUCCACAACAAUNNNNNNNNNNNNNNNNNNNNNNNNNNNNN